CUUUACUGUUUCCCCACUUCUAUAAACACAAACAGCCCCCCCCACACACACACACAAACUCUCACACCCUCUCACUAACUCUCUUCCCUGUGGGAUCAUGUUGUGUGCAUUGUGAGGACAAUAUAGGCUGGUCAAGUUUGCAGAAAUUGAGGUCAUUUUUUUUUAACCUCAGAGUUCAUUCUGGCUUUAAGUGAUGUGAGCUUUCAAGCCCAACUCAAUUAAUAUGGCUGGUUGGGUUUACCAAAUCAGGGGACGGUCCCUUGCGUCGUCGUGCAUUUUACAGAGACAUAUUCUGAGUGUCUCUGCUCCUGGUUUCUACAUUACAUGCCUAGGUGUUUCUUCCAUCAUGUGGCACCCACAACAUAGAGGCCGCCCCAGUGGCCCAGCCAUAUCACAAAUCAAAACCUGCAUCAGCUGGCCUUCAGGGGAAAUGCCUCUCUGCCAAGAGCACCUAACAAUCACCAAUCACAAUUCUCCAAGUAAGCUUUAGCUAGCUUACUCUAUCCUAGAAAAUAGGACCUACCCCCCUUAUUCAGAAAUGCCUGGACUCUUAGCCAGUCAUGCCCUGUUUGAGUAUUGUUGCUUCUAAAGUUCCACAACGCUCCUGCCCUAAAUCCCUUGGGAACAGUGCUCCCUGACUGUAAAACACUGCUCCCCCAGUGCAUGGAUUAUUCUCCCUUGAAUACAGGACAUCAAACUCAUUACUAAAUUGCUUAUUUUUUGUCAUUUGACACUUGUCUUCUGUAGAAGUACAUAUAUUUAUAUAUAAGUAUAUAUAUUGAUUUCUGAAUUUGUUUUUAUUUAUACAUUUGCAUGCAGUUGUAUGUUUGUAAUUGAAUAGGAUCAGUUAUAUUAGAGCUUCAGUUAGUAAAAAAAACAUUAAUAUAUACCUUGAAAUAGAAUAUCUGAAUCAACUCCAUAGAUCAUCUAAGUUACUCUUUAUGAUUUCUUUUUAGUUGGGGCAAUGCUGUUGAUGGUUAAUUUUGACCCUUACAUAUUAACUCUUCUUAAUUCACUCUAAAAAUGAUAAUCUCAUUUCAGAAUUCUGGGGAACUAUUGUCAACAAGGAUGGAACUCUGGAGGGUAGUGGUAGGUUCCAAUAUUCAGCAUCUGCGUCAUCAUGUCAUAGUGGAUUUUUAUGUUAAUUACCUAAUGCAUGAUUAAAGGGUCAAUAGGAAGAUAACAAAAAUAAUUCACAUUUGUACAGCAUUUUAAAUAUUCAAAUGAAUAUUGAUUUGUUUGAUUCUUACAUCUCCAUGAAAAGAGAAACUUAAGAGUGGAUUAAAAAUCCAAAACCAUUUAUAGGUGAAACAUUGGUGUUUUUGCCACCAGCAGAGGCGAAAAGUUCUUUCAGAUCAAAACAUACAAUUUGCCUCAAAAUGAGAAUUCCUGGAACAUGAACUAGAUUUGCUCCUUUAGAGCUUUGAAGAAGUAACAGAGCCCAACCCUUUCAGAUGGAGGCACCAGCACUCUUAGAUGCUAAAGACAAGGAUAUUUUCAUGCACAUCAGCAACAUUUAAUUCUUGCUGGUCAGGAGUAGGGAGCAUGUAUGAGUGAUGGAAAUCCACAGAUAAUCAACCAACUUUUUUGCUUGAAGGGUUUGUGCUUUAUCCCCAAGGAGGCUUUUGCUGUGAUCUCUACCUAGGAGGAAAUAUUGGCUGCUCUUUCUUCUUCUUCAAGCUCCCCUCCCAGCGUGUGGCUCCCCUCCAGGAGUUUCUGUAGCAUCACCACUGGGGGUCAUUUUUUUUUCAUCACCAUCUGGAGGUCUUUUCCCAGGCACUUUAGUUGCUCCUCCCCAUGAUUACAAUAUCCCACUGAUCCUGUUUUGCACUUUCUGCUUCUUAAGAGGAUCUCUCUUUGGUGUCCCAACACCAUAAAGAAGUUAAUAAUGCAUAAUGCGCUUGGACAUCAAUAGUCUGAGCUGCGGUGGGCUAAAAUCACCCUUCUCUUUCAUGGCACCAUGAAGGCAAAGUCUGAUCAUCGGCUCCAUGAAUUCCCAUGUUGUCAAUACAAACGGAAUAGGUGAAUAUUUCGUGGAUAACAGCAUCCGAGCAUAGGCCACCACAACAGAGCACCUCUCUUCCUCUGCUAUUAUUCAUCUGGAAAAAUGAUAGCUUUGCAUUUGUCCUUGAAAAUCCAGUAACUAAUAGUCUGGAAAAACUACCUUUGUCUUGUAAAAUGCACAAUAAAAUCUUUGCCGUUUCCACAGAAAUCCAGGUUGUCUUUCAUUACCUUUGGUUUUGUGUUUCUUAAUAAAUUUUGAUUAGCAUGCCUAGACACACUUUUAAACAUAACAGUUUCCCUUGGGCAUGUAAGGGAGUCAUUGCUUAAGUAUGACAGGAGCUUCCCAAAGAUAUUUCUUUCUUUUUUCCUUUAGUACAUUAAUAAAAAGGAAAAGGGUGUCUGCUCUAUGGAUUGAUUGCUUGGAAAAAUAAAACACGCAAAAGCUGGUAUGUGUUACAUGAAUGCAUGAAUAAACUAAUCCUCUAAAACAACUCAGUUACAGGGACAAAACAUUCGAUCUGGGGACAGGACAAGAAGUAGGAGGCAAUUUGGGAUCAGUAUUUGCUCCGAUGAGUGUAAUUAUUGUGUAAAUUGUGGCUCUUGACAAAAAUCUCUGAGUCCUGUUGAGAUGUUGUUAAUGCCCCAGGAAGAAGUCUGCCUUCUCUAGUGUGAUUGCUUACAAAGAUGCUGCUGCCUCCUUCCUCCUUUUCCCACAGGAGAUGGGCAAUUUGCCAGUGUUUCAUUUUCAAGUGCCAUUGUUCACCUAGGGCUUGAGGAAAAGCUCCUGCUUUUUAUUGCUAAUCCAAUCCUAAAUUAUGACCAUUUUUUAAAAUUCCUUGAACAUUUUAUAACAAAAUUAUUAGCCACUGACAUUAGCCACGAUGACACAAAUAGCUCUGUCACUUAUUUUGUUUAACUUAACAAGUGAUUCAGUAAUUUUUGCAGCCUGGGAAUUACUCUAUUGGUUUGCGAGAUCUCCUUCUAUGAGUAGUUCAUGGGAAAAAUUCUCAGUCUACUCUUAUUUCUGCAAUACCUGUCCACUCUCGUUCCACGAGUUAUGAUUCUGACAACAAAGCAACGUGGUAAUAUUUAUCACAUGAUUUAAUCACGCUCGUGUCAUAUUUUACAUUGUGUAUGUAUAUGACUGAAAAAGAACAGUCCAAUUGUCCUACAUUCUAAGGAAAUAAGAUACAUUUAUUCAUUAAAGAAAUUGAAGAAUAGGUUAAAGAUGUUAAUGAUUAUUGAAUGUGAGCUCAUGCUGGGACCUUUUGUGAAUUAGGUUUGGCACCCUUGGAUUAAUUCUUCAUAUUUAACACACACUACACAUUCAGGGGGUAAUUUCCUGUGUUUUAUCAUAAAGAUCGAAGCAGGAUCAUGCCAGAAUUUGAAAUGGUUCUGUGCAAAAACGGAAAGCAGGUCACCUUUGUUUCUAUAACCCUUUCUAAAGCCCUUUGAGUCUGUGUCCCCAUCCUAGUCCUAACCUCGCUUGUCACGGCCUGCCCACCUCACAGCAUGCGAGGUCUGUAACUUGUUCAAGGCCCCCACCAUGACAGCAUCCUUCUGUUCCCAACCUUUCCCAUUCCCUUCACUCUCAGUUCAUGCAUUUCCUACAAACCUUGCAUUCUUUAAAAGUCCUGUCUAGUCUAGAGAACAAGAACAUUGAUUUGUGUUUGGAGUUAAUAGCUGGUAGUAACUGUUCAUAUGACACCCUUCCAGAUAUAAUUUGCAUUUAAACAGCUGCCUUGAACUGAAAGAACUGGAGAAUGCUGAAGGGUUCAGACUCUGAAGCAGGGCCAAUGAGAGUUAUUUUUGGUCACCACGCCCUUCCCAGGCCCCCUCAGGUGUUUAAUCAGCCUAUGAGACAUUAGGAGGGAGAAACACAAAUAAACAAGGCUCUGAUUUGAUUCCUGGCUCUGACAGUUCCUAGCUCUGUGACCUUGAGCUGGUGCUUCAGUGUCCUCAACCAUAAAACAGGGCUAAUAAGGUUUUAUGAAGACUAAAUGAGUAAGAUAGUUAAAACUCCUGAAAGGUUUCCUAUUAUAAGAAUGUCAGUGGAAAAUCUUUUGGUUACAAAUGACAGGAAUUCAACUCAAACUAAGUAUUCGGAUGUAGUAGAAUUGCAUUGCUGUCUAGAAAUGCAUAUUUUUUAGCAAGCAAAAGUAGGGAUUCUGAGAUGGGUGGUAAUUGAAUCAUACUUCAAAGGACAGUAUUCUAGGGGAGCAAAGAAUAUUCCACAGACCUUAAAAAAUGAGAGGCAGGAGAUGAUAGAGAAUGUAAUGAUCCAGAUCUAAAAUCUGAAAGGUGGGGAUGGCAACCUCAGUAAGCCAUGGAGAAUACAGACAAGAUUGAAAUGGCAUGCCUAAAUUUAAACCAGAUUAUAUAUAAAAUUUCAAGUACUGAGCAUAAUCUUUGACAACAGAGAAAACUAAUUUUUUUUAAAUAUAGAAAUUAACUGAAAUCAGGGAAGAUAAUUGGACCACUAGUGGUUAUCUGAUAAAAGAGGCAGAAAAUAAAUGAGGUGCCAAAAGACUGGAGAUGAAAAAAUGAAGUUCCAUUUGUCUUUAAAGAACCCAAAAUUGGAUUCUUCCAGGUGUAGGGCAGUGAGUCUUGAUGUCAAUCUUGAGCGAUUACUAAAAGAGACAUUGAAUGAAAGAUGUCUAAGCCUUUAAUGCAGUACAUUGUACUCAUGGAGAAUUUAUAUCAAUUUCCAAAUAAGUCAGACUAUUUCUAUUUUUGACUGAAUUGCCAGAUUGGUAAAUUUAGAUGACUUAGGAAAAUAGGACAUACAGUGUGUGUAGAGGAGUUAGAUGCCCAUGAAUUUCUUAUAGAAAAAAAAAUAAAUAAAGUCAGGGGGUUCCCUGGUGGUCUAGUGGUUAGGAUUCAGUGCUUUCACUGCUGCAGCCUAUGGUUCAGUCCCUAGUCUGGGAACUGAGAUCAAGAUCCCACAUCAAGGAGUUCCUGUCACGGCACAGCAGAAAUGAAUCCGACUAGGAACCAUGAGGUGGCGGGUUCAACCCCUUGCCUCACUCACUGGGUUAAGGAUCUGUUGUUACUGUGAGCUGUGUGGUGUAGGUCACAGACAAGGAUUGGAUCCUGUAUUGCUGUGGCUGUGGGGUAGGCCAUCAGCUGUAGCUCCGAUUGGAGCCUUAGCCUGGGCACCUCCAUAUGUUGCAAGUGUGGCCCUAAAAAGCAAAAAAAAAA
This 5205-nucleotide transfer RNA is filed under the name Sus scrofa (pig). Its description in RNAcentral is "lncRNA (ENSSSCG00000062291.1)". The stretch from base 4860 to 4932 matches the Rfam family "tRNA". Lineage: Eukaryota; Metazoa; Chordata; Mammalia; Artiodactyla; Suidae. The record is from RNAcentral.